RNAcentral lists this ribosomal RNA (2071 nucleotides) under metagenome. RNAcentral's name for it is "bacterial LSU rRNA". It matches the Rfam family "Bacterial large subunit ribosomal RNA", at positions 804 to 2925 of the family's 2925-position model. The record is from RNAcentral.
AUGACUUGUGGAUAGCGGAGAAAUUCCAAUCGAACUCGGAGAUAGCUGGUUCUCCUCGAAAUAGUUUUAGGACUAGCCUUGAGAGAAUAAUAUGCGGGGGUAGAGCACUGAAUGAGCUAGGGGUCAAACCUGAUUACCGAACUCUAUCAAACUCCGAAUACCGUAUAGAGGAAACUCAGGAGUCAGACUGCGGGAGCUAAGUUCCGUGGUCAAAAGGGAAAGAGCCCAGAUCGUCAAUUAAGGUCCCAAAGAUAUAGUUAAGUGGAAAACGAUGUGAUUUUGCGUAAACAACCAGGAUGUUGGCUUAGAAGCAGCCAUUCAUUUAAAGAGUGCGUAAUAGCUCACUGGUCGAGUGAAGUUGCGCGGAAAAUUACCGGGGCUAAACUAUACACCGAAAUUGCGGAUUUAUAUGAAGAAUAUAAGUGGUAGAGGAGCAUUCUAUAGUAGGAAGAAGGUAGAUCGAAAGGACUGCUGGACGAGAUAGAAGAGAGAAUGCCGGAAUAAGUAGCGAAAGCAUGGUGAGAAUCCAUGCCAUCGAAAGUCUAAGGUUUCCUGGGGAAGGUUCGUCCGCCCAGGGUAAGUCGGGACCUAAGGAGAGGCCGAAAGGCGUAUCUGAUGGACAGCAGGUAGAAAUUCCUGCACCACCGAUAUACUUAAAAAAUGCAAGGGACACAGGAGUGGAAGGAAAGCGAGGAAGAGGAAAAACUCGUAUCGAAAGAUAUAGUGAAAUAUAUAAGUAACGAAUUUCCAAGAAGCACACUGGCGAGAAAAGCUUGUAGAUAUUGUAUAUAGGUGCCCGUACCGCAAACCGACACAGGUAGAUGAGGAGAGGAUCCUAAGAUGAGCGAGAGAAGCAUUGUUAAGGAACUCGGCAAACUGACCCCGUAACUUCGGAAUAAGGGGUGCUAAGGUAAAACUUAGUCGCAGAGAAUAGUCCCAAGCAACUGUUUAACAAAAACACAGGUUUCUGCUAAAUCGAAAGAUGAAGUAUAGGAGCUGACGCCUGCCCAGUGCUGGAAGGUUAAGGGGAAAUGUUAGAGUAAUCGAAGCAUAGAACCAAAGCCCCAGUGAACGGCGGCCGUAACUAUAACGGUCCUAAGGUAGCGAAAUUCCUUGUCAGGUAAGUUCUGACCCGCACGAAAGGCGUAAUGAUUUGGGCACUGUCUCAACAAUGAUCUCGGCGAAAUUGUAGUACUAGUGAAGAUGCUAGUUACCUGUGAUAAGACAGAAAGACCCCAUGGAGCUUUACUGUAGCUUGAUAUUGAAACUAGGUAGAGAAUGUACAGGAUAGGUGGGAGACUAUGAGACAAGGACGCUAGUUCUUGUGGAGUCAACGUUGGGAUACCACUCUUUUUCUACUUGGAAUCUAACAUGUUGCCGUUAUCCGGUAAGUGGACAGUGUCAGGUGGGCAGUUUGACUGGGGCGGUCGCCUCCUAAACGGUAACGGAGGCGUUCAAAGGUUAGCUGAGCACGGUCAGAAAUCGUGUAUACAAGUGCAAAGGCAGAAGCUAGCCUGACUGCGAGACUGACAGGUCGAGCAGAUGCGAAAGCAGGACUUAGUGACCCGAUGGUAGUGAGUGGAAAUGCCAGAGCUCAACGGAUAAAAGUUACCCUGGGGAUAACAGGCUUAUCUCCCCCAAGAGUCCAUAUCGACGGGGAGGUUUGGCACCUCGAUGUCGGCUCAUCGCAUCCUGGAGCGGUAGUACGUUCCAAGGGUUGGGCUGUUCGCCCAUUAAAGCGGCACGCGAGCUGGGUUCAGAACGUCGUGAGACAGUUCGGUCCAUAUCCGGUAUACGCGCAAGAGAUUUGAACGGAGUCUUCCUUAGUACGAGAGGACCGGGAAGAGGGAACCUCCAGUGUACGGGUUAUCGCGCCAGCGGUAAACGCCCGGUAGCUGUGUUCCAAGCGGAUAAGUGCUGAAAGCAUAUAAGUACGAAGCCCACCGAAAGAUGAGUUCUCUCACUGGGUAACCAGGUAAGUCCCCACGCAGAUCACGUGGUUGAUAGGUCAUAGUUGUAAGUGUGGCAACAUAUUAAGACGAGUGAUACUAAUAGGACGAGGGCUUUUCCU